Molecule: small nucleolar RNA, 100 nt
Filed under: Microcebus murinus (gray mouse lemur)
Lineage: Eukaryota; Metazoa; Chordata; Mammalia; Primates; Cheirogaleidae
Description: Small nucleolar RNA SNORA25 (ENSMICG00000033738.2)
Source: RNAcentral
UGUACAUCUCACUCAUUGUGUACACUAUGACCAAAGAUUGAAGUUCUCCAGAGGAUGUCAUAGUCACUCAAAAGUCAUGUUAUCCUGAGGAGAUAUAAGA